UAGAUGUUUAUGACGUUGAUAUUCAACGUCAUAAACAUUCAACUUAGAUGUUUAUGACGUUGAAUAUCAACGUCAUAAACAUUCAACU
This 88-nucleotide microRNA precursor is filed under the name Paramuricea clavata. The record is from RNAcentral. Lineage: Eukaryota; Metazoa; Cnidaria; Anthozoa; Malacalcyonacea; Plexauridae.